AUAAAGCUUGUGAUUGUAGAAGCUCUCCCCCUUCUUUUCUCUGUUUGCUCAUCAUGAGAUUUCUUUUUCCGAAACAGUCACUUUCUCCACCUCUCCCUCUCAGUUUUCACUCUCAAUCCUCUAAUUUUGAUGUCCAUUUCAACCUGAACCGGUGCUAUCCCUUCCAAACUUGGUUGUGACUUAGAGGAUGGUGUGAUGAUUAGGAGAAGGGUUACAUGGAGUACUCACAAACCAUGAAUCUAUAUCUAUGUUAGAGUUGCAUAGAUCUGCAUAAAAUUCUUCACCUAAGCAUUGAUGAAUCUCUCUGUGAAUUUCUUAUCUAGACAUCUGCUUUUUCUUUAACCAUGCGCUGCAUCUUCAAUUUGCUUGUCGCAUUUUUUUUUCUAGAAGAUAAUUACUAGCUAAGAGAGCUUUCUUCAGUCCACUCAUGGGUGGUAGUAGGAUUUAAUUAGCUGCCGACUCAUUCAUCCAAAUACUGAGUUAAAAGGACAAGGAGAUUACCCAGUAAAUGAGUGAAUGAUGCGGGAGACAAAUUGAAUCCUAAGCUUCCUGUACUUGGACUGAAGGGAGCUCCCUUUCCUUUUAUACUAUGUAUCUUAAACUUGUUUCUUGUGUUUAAUAUAUACCUGAUGUUCGGCUGGCGGCAAAUGCUGUGUGUCUAUAUGUAUAUAUAUUCUUCCAGACAGCAUGAAAUCAAGUUUUUGCUCAGGUGAGCUUUCUUAAGAAAACUGCCUUUUAGGGAUAGACAAGGAAUUUUAGGGUUUUGAUCAAGCUGCAGCUGUUUCUUUGUUAAAGGCAACAACGCAUGAGGGGCAGAAGAUUUUACAAGCUCACGCUCCACGACAUUAGCUUCUCGGGUCUUGCUCUUAAACUGCAACAAGUUCCUAGACGGAUAAAAAUGUCCCCCAGAAGUUGAAUUACUGAAAUAUCCUCAAUGGAGGUUCUAACCCGUGGUUCAUGGAAUAUACACUUUAAUUUGCAAAAAUAACAUAAUGUCUAUUUUUCCUACUAAUUUUGACUUGUUUAAUUACGAGUAAACAAAAACAAAUGUAUCCACUAAGAAACUUUAGAGCUCUCCUCAGCUGGAGAUUUUAUUUUGUUCACUUGUAAGAUUAGAGCGUUUAUAUCAUGUUAUUUUCCUUUUCAUUCGUU
Molecule: long non-coding RNA, 1152 nt
Organism: Populus euphratica (Euphrates poplar)
Lineage: Eukaryota; Viridiplantae; Streptophyta; Magnoliopsida; Malpighiales; Salicaceae
Exons: 2
Source: RefSeq, a predicted model, not a curated record